This 368-nucleotide ribosomal RNA is filed under the name Cassidula schmackeriana. RNAcentral's name for it is "partial 12S ribosomal RNA". The record is from RNAcentral. Lineage: Eukaryota; Metazoa; Mollusca; Gastropoda; Ellobiida; Ellobiidae.
UUAGAUACCCCACUAUACGGAGCUAAAAACUCGCAAUGAAGCACUAAAACCCUCAGGUUAAAACUUAAAGAGCAUGGCGGCGAGCCUAAUUUUCAGGGGAAUUUACCAGGUAAAUGACAACCCACAUGGUGCCUUUCUUAAUCUAACAGUUUGUAUGCCGCCGUCUUCAGAUAACACCUAAGGUAUUGUCUACUCUCUAACGGAGGAAAGACAGGUCAUGGUGCAGCUAAUGGCUAAGUGCUAGGUGAGUUACAGUAGCAUCUUACUUCCGCUAUAAGGAUUAAACUUGCCUUAUAAAAGAUGGACUUGAAAGUAAUUUUUAAUACGGAGAAAACUUUGAAUUCAGAUUAGGUUCGUGCACACACCGC